RNAcentral lists this ribosomal RNA (59 nucleotides) under Fusarium oxysporum. RNAcentral describes it as "partial 28S ribosomal RNA". Lineage: Eukaryota; Fungi; Ascomycota; Sordariomycetes; Hypocreales; Nectriaceae. The record is from RNAcentral.
UUGACCUCGGAUCAGGUAGGAAUACCCGCUGAACUUAAGCAUAUCAAUAAGUCGGAGGA